AGAAGGCUGGGUUGACUUUCGAGCUACUGAGGUGAAGGGGUUUACGAGUGUCGAUCUGAAGACCAUAGUAGGAAUUCAGCCAACGGAAAAUGCACCAGAAGAGUUUCCUCACUCCUACGUUGUGGGGAAGGUUGCUAAGGAUUGUCUGCUUGUCACAUAUGGUCUCUCAAGUGAUGGACAGCAAAAGUGUCUGCUUUGGGGAUUAUCCGGAAGCCAGGUUAGCACUAACACUGAGUGCUAUAAUGCCCUCAAAUCACUUUGCCCUGAUAACAUGUACGAUAUGACGGAAACGGACGGUCCGUGCCAGCAAUACGAUCGUGACGAAAACAGCCGUAACAAUCAAGCACAGGAGGAUGAAGGAACACGUUAGCACCUUGCCCAACAAAUGGUUCAAAAUAAAACAACCUUAUCAAAUGGGAGGACUUUCAAGCGUAUGCACAAUUCUUUUAGCGACA
Molecule: non-coding RNA, 455 nt
Organism: Dermacentor andersoni
Lineage: Eukaryota; Metazoa; Arthropoda; Arachnida; Ixodida; Ixodidae
Source: RefSeq, a predicted model, not a curated record